CCCUCACCAUCCUCACUCUCUUCCCAGACAUUCCUGACUAUUCCCCAAUCUAUUGCAACAUCCGCCUAAUUUGAUAAAAGAUUCUUCAGACAUUAAAAAACAUAGCACUAGAAAUAAAAGUUUGGAAAUAGACAUGGAACAAUAUCUGAAAAGUAGAUCAAAAAGAAAAGGAAGAUAAAAAUUUCAGAAAAUUAGACCAAUUCCAGAAGGCCAAUGUCCAAAUAAUAGAAGUCUAAGAUAAAAACAAAAGCAAGUGUGGCCAGCUGAUGAGAGUGGAUCCUCACAAGCUCAGAAACUACAGAAUCACGUAAAUGCCAGGAAAUUUAACAUGGUGAGGCUUUGCUGUAAGGUAAAGACAUAAGAGGCCAGAAUUCCAGAAGUUUUUCGGGCUACAGAAAGAAAGGUUUUCCUGUUGGGGGAAAAAAAUGAAUCUGAUACACAAUCCAACACUGAUCCUCCCUUCAUUUGAUGGAUGAAGAAGGCAAGAAAAUAUCUUGCAAGUGUCCACUCUGAGAUGCUAG
This 521-nucleotide long non-coding RNA is filed under the name Heterocephalus glaber (naked mole-rat). Its description in RNAcentral is "lncRNA (ENSHGLG00100034798.1)". Lineage: Eukaryota; Metazoa; Chordata; Mammalia; Rodentia; Bathyergidae. The record is from RNAcentral.